This 49-nucleotide ribosomal RNA is filed under the name uncultured fungus. RNAcentral's name for it is "partial 5.8S ribosomal RNA". It matches the Rfam family "5.8S ribosomal RNA", at positions 1 to 49 of the family's 154-position model. From Rfam's summary of the family: 5.8S ribosomal RNA (5.8S rRNA) is a component of the large subunit of the eukaryotic ribosome. It is transcribed by RNA polymerase I as part of the 45S precursor that also contains 18S and 28S rRNA. Functionally, it is thought that 5.8S rRNA may be involved in ribosome translocation. The record is from RNAcentral. Lineage: Eukaryota; Fungi.
CAACUUCAACAACGGAUCUCUUGGCUCUCGCAUCGAUGAAGAACGCAGC